UCCUGGGAAACGGGUGGUAAUGCCGGAUGUGCCGGGCUCCUGCAUGGGGGUCCGGGAAAGCUCUGGCGGCGUGGGAUGGGGUCGCGUCCUAUCAGCUUGUUGGCGGGGUGAGGGCCCACCAAGGCUUCGACGGGUAGCCGGCCUGAGAGGGCGACCGGCCACAUUGGGACUGAGAUACGGCCCAGACUCCUACGGGAGGCAGCAGUGGGGAAUAUUGCACAAUGGGCGCAAGCCUGAUGCAGCGACGCCGCGUGCGGGAUGGAGGCCUUCGGGUUGUAAACCGCUUUUGUUUGGGAGCAAGCCCUUCGGGGUGAGUGUACCUUUCGAAUAAGCACCGGCUAACUACGUGCCAGCAGCCGCGGUAAUACGUAGGGUGCGAGCGUUAUCCGGAUUUAUUGGGCGUAAAGGGCUCGUAGGCGGUUCGUCGCGUCCGGUGUGAAAGUCCAUCGCCUAACGGUGGAUCUGCGCCGGGUACGGGCGGGCUGGAGUGCGGUAGGGGAGACUGGAAUUCCCGGUGUAACGGUGGGAUGUGUAGAUAUCGGGAAGAACACC
Molecule: ribosomal RNA, 552 nt
Filed under: uncultured Bifidobacterium sp.
Lineage: Bacteria; Bacillati; Actinomycetota; Actinomycetes; Bifidobacteriales; Bifidobacteriaceae
Description: bacterial SSU rRNA
Rfam family: Bacterial small subunit ribosomal RNA
Source: RNAcentral